This 465-nucleotide ribosomal RNA is filed under the name uncultured bacterium. Its description in RNAcentral is "partial 16S ribosomal RNA". It matches the Rfam family "Bacterial small subunit ribosomal RNA", at positions 339 to 795 of the family's 1533-position model. The record is from RNAcentral.
CUACGGGGGGCAGCAGUGAGGAAUUUUGCGCAAUGGGGGAAACCCUGACGCAGCAACGCCGCGUGAGUGAAGAAGGCCUUUGGGUCGUAAAGCUCUGUCAACAGGGAAGAAGUUGCAAUUGUUUAAUAGAUGAUUGUAUUGACGGUACCUGUGGAGGAAGCGCCGGCUAACUCCGUGCCAGCAGCCGCGGUAACACGGGGGGCGCAAGCGUUAUUCGGAAUUAUUGGGCGUAAAGGGCGCGCAGGCGGUCUUGUCCGUCAGGUGUGAAAGCUCGGGGCUCAACCCCGGAAGUGCACUUGAAACAGCAAGACUUGAAUACGGGAGAGGAAAGCGGAAUUCCUGGUGUAGAGGUGAAAUUCGUAGAUAUCAGGAGGAACACCGAUGGCGAAGGCAGCUUUCUGGACCGAUAUUGACGCUGAGGCGCGAAGGCGUGGGGAGCGAACGGGAUUAGAUACCCCUGUAGUC